UACGGGGGGGGCAAGCGUUGUUCGGAAUCACUGGGCGUAAAGGGUGCGUAGGCGGGUCUUUAAGUCAGGGGUGAAAUCCUGGAGCUCAACUCCAGAACUGCCUUUGAUACUGAGGAUCUUGAGUACGGGAGAGGUGAGUGGAACUGCGAGUGUAGAGGUGAAAUUCGUAGAUAUUCGCAAGAACACCAGUGGCGAAGGCGGCUCACUGGCCCGUAACUGACGCUGAGGCACGAAAGCGUGGGGAGCAAACAGG
RNAcentral lists this ribosomal RNA (253 nucleotides) under uncultured bacterium. Its description in RNAcentral is "partial 16S ribosomal RNA". It matches the Rfam family "Bacterial small subunit ribosomal RNA", at positions 524 to 776 of the family's 1533-position model. The record is from RNAcentral.